Molecule: ribosomal RNA, 218 nt
Filed under: Fusobacterium sp. HMSC064B11
Lineage: Bacteria; Fusobacteriati; Fusobacteriota; Fusobacteriia; Fusobacteriales; Fusobacteriaceae
Description: partial 16S ribosomal RNA
Rfam family: Bacterial small subunit ribosomal RNA (bases 35-218)
Source: RNAcentral
UAAAUAAAAUAGCAGAAUGAGCUAUUAAAAAGAUUGAACGAAGAGUUUGAUCCUGGCUCAGGAUGAACGCUGACAGAAUGCUUAACACAUGCAAGUCAACUUGAACUUCGGUUUGGGUGGCGGACGGGUGAGUAACGCGUAAAGAACUUGCCUCACAGAUAGGGACAACAUUUGGAAACGAAUGCUAAUACCUGAUAUUAUGAUUAUAUGGCAUCGUA